GGUCAUGAGUGACAGCUGUAGGCCCUGGCUGGCUGUCCGGCAACCCUCCUUCCGUGGCGGGGUGCCCCAGGUGACGACCCGGCCGGGCGACGUGCCCGGCAAGUGCGGAGC
Molecule: non-coding RNA, 111 nt
Filed under: Kineococcus radiotolerans
Lineage: Bacteria; Bacillati; Actinomycetota; Actinomycetes; Kineosporiales; Kineosporiaceae
Also listed under: 1 other name
Description: SAM-IV sequence
Rfam family: SAM (S-adenosyl methionine) riboswitch aptamer
About the family: SAM-IV is a mRNA element that regulates gene expression via direct sensing of S-adenosylmethionine (SAM or AdoMet).
Source: RNAcentral